AGGGAAAGAAGUGCUAUCUAUUAUAUGGAGAAAAGUGCAAGAAAAAUGGCCAACACAUGACUAAUGCAUUUCCUUUCUCAUAGAUUUAAAGGUCCCAUUGCCUGGAGGUGAGCACAUUCUUAGCCAAAUCGUCUGCCCCAUGUGAGUGGUGGGCGGAGCAUUCCAAUACUGCCCAAUUAGGAAUAGAUCUUUUACACAUGUGCUGUGGCAUCAAAGGGUUGGGCGGCAGCUUACCAGCCAUACCAGUGAGUGAAAAACAAUAAAAAAGGCUGCGCCACAGUAAAUAAUAAAAAAGUCCAAUAAAAGGUCCAAAAAGGAGAGAAGAUCCCAAUAUUUAUCCUUACAGAUAGUCUUUGGUGGUGAGGUCUUCUACUGAUGUGGUGGAUCCACUUGGUAUGAAAGAU
This is a non-coding RNA of Pelobates cultripes (western spadefoot toad), 404 nucleotides long. The record is from the annotation of a GenBank genome assembly. NCBI's taxonomy places the organism in Eukaryota, Metazoa, Chordata, Amphibia, Anura, Pelobatidae.